UGGGUAGUAUCGUUUUGAGCUGCACCAUAAGUGUUGAUAAAUUAUUCUUCUGCUCAUAUCAAUUUUUGAAAGAGACAGGAUG
Molecule: regulatory RNA element, 82 nt
Organism: Clostridium kluyveri DSM 555
Lineage: Bacteria; Bacillati; Bacillota; Clostridia; Eubacteriales; Clostridiaceae
Rfam family: pan motif
Source: Rfam